RNAcentral lists this ribosomal RNA (497 nucleotides) under uncultured bacterium. Its description in RNAcentral is "partial 16S ribosomal RNA". It matches the Rfam family "Bacterial small subunit ribosomal RNA", at positions 28 to 507 of the family's 1533-position model. The record is from RNAcentral.
GAUGAACGCUGGCGGCGUGCCUAAUACAUGCAAGUCGAGCGGACAGACGAGGAGCUUGCUCCUCUGACGUUAGCGGCGGACGGGUGAGUAACACGUGGAUAACCUACCUAUAAGACUGGGAUAACUUCGGGAAACCGGAGCUAAUACCGGAUAAUAUAUUGAACCGCAUGGUUCAAUAGUGAAAGACGGUUUUGCUGUCACUUAUAGAUGGAUCCGCGCCGCAUUAGCUAGUUGGUAAGGUAACGGCUUACCAAGGCUACGAUGCGUAGCCGACCUGAGAGGGUGAUCGGCCACACUGGAACUGAGACACGGUCCAGACUCCUACGGGAGGCAGCAGUAGGGAAUCUUCCGCAAUGGGCGAAAGCUUGACGGAGCAACGCCGCGUGAGUGAUGAAGGUCUUCGGAUCGUAAAACUCUGUUAUUAGGGAAGAACAAAUGUGUAAGUAACUAUGCACGUCUUGACGGUACCUAAUCAGAAAGCCACGGCUAACUACGUG